This 468-nucleotide ribosomal RNA is filed under the name uncultured bacterium. RNAcentral describes it as "partial 16S ribosomal RNA". It matches the Rfam family "Bacterial small subunit ribosomal RNA", at positions 28 to 507 of the family's 1533-position model. The record is from RNAcentral.
GACGAACGCUGGCGGCGUGCUUAACACAUGCAAGUCGAACGGAAAGGCCCUGCUUUUGUGGGGUGCUCGAGUGGCGAACGGGUGAGUAACACGUGAGUAACCUGCCCUUGACUUUGGGAUAACUUCAGGAAACUGGGGCUAAUACCGGAUAGGAGCUACUGCUGCAUGGUGGGGGUUGGAAAGUGUCGGCGGUUGGGGAUGGACUCGAGGCUUAUCAGCUUGUUGGUGGGGUAGUGGCUUACCAAGGCUUUGACGGGUAGCCGGCCUGAGAGCGUGACCGGCCUCAUUGGGACUGAGAUACGGCCCAGACUCCUACGGGAGGCAGUAGUGGAGAAUAUUGCACAAUGGGCGGACGCCUGAUGCAGCAACGCCGCGUGCGGGAUGACGGCCUUCGGGUUGUAAACCGCUUUCGCCUGUGACGAAGCGUGAGUGACGGUAAUGGGUAAAGAAGCACCGGCUAACUACGUG